RNAcentral lists this ribosomal RNA (253 nucleotides) under uncultured bacterium. RNAcentral describes it as "partial 16S ribosomal RNA". It matches the Rfam family "Bacterial small subunit ribosomal RNA", at positions 524 to 776 of the family's 1533-position model. The record is from RNAcentral.
UACGGGGGGUGCGAGCGUUGUCCGGAUUUAUUGGGCGUAAAGAGCGUGUAGGCGGCCAGACAGGUCCGUUGUGAAAACUCGAGGCUCAACCUCGAGAUGUCGAUGGAAACCGUCUGGCUAGAGUCCGGAAGAGGAGUGUGGAAUUCCUGGUGUAGCGGUGAAAUGCGCAGAUAUCAGGAAGAACACCUAUGGCGAAGGCAGCACUCUGGGACGGUACUGACGCUGAGACGCGAAAGCGUGGGGAGCGAACAGG